RNAcentral lists this ribosomal RNA (484 nucleotides) under uncultured bacterium. RNAcentral's name for it is "partial 16S ribosomal RNA". It matches the Rfam family "Bacterial small subunit ribosomal RNA", at positions 30 to 507 of the family's 1533-position model. The record is from RNAcentral.
ACUGAACGCUGGCGGCAGGCCUAACACAUGCAAGUCGAGCGGAUGAAGGGAGCUUGCUCCUGGAUUCAGCGGCGGACGGGUGAGUAAUGCCUAGGAAUCUGCCUGGUAGUGGGGGAUAACGUCCGGAAACGGGCGCUAAUACCGCAUACGUCCUGAGGGAGAAAGUGGGGGAUCUUCGGACCUCACGCUAUCAGAUGAGCCUAGGUCGGAUUAGCUAGUUGGUGGGGUAAAGGCCUACCAAGGCGACGAUCCGUAACUGGUCUGAGAGGAUGAUCAGUCACACUGGAACUGAGACACGGUCCAGACUCCUACGGGAGGCAGCAGUGGGGAAUAUUGGACAAUGGGCGAAAGCCUGAUCCAGCCAUGCCGCGUGUGUGAGGAAGGUCUUCGGAUUGUAAAGCACUUUAAGUUGGGAGGAAGGGCAGUAAGUUAAUACCUUGCUGUUUUGACGUUACCAACAGAAUAAGCACCGGCUAACUUCGUG